Cyprinus carpio (common carp) is the source of this 1234-nucleotide long non-coding RNA. The record is from Ensembl. NCBI's taxonomy places the organism in Eukaryota, Metazoa, Chordata, Actinopteri, Cypriniformes, Cyprinidae.
UCAGAACAAUCAAUUUCCCUUAAGAGAGAGUGGGAGCAGGGCUGGAGUGGAUGGCACAGGACCUGGAUACUCGCAUUUUGUAACGCCGAACAGGACCGGGCAUUGGGGAUAAACCUGUGGAGAGUUUGAGAGCUGGAAUACAACCAACUUGGGGUUUUGACAUUUCACAAACGUGAGAGGAGAGCAGCUGUGAGAAAGCAGCAGACACACAGGCCAGUCCUGAUGGCAGGCGCUUGGGGGUCAGCCUGCACUGGACUCCGGCUCUAGCAGCCCACUGGGCCCUCACUUCAACUCUAAACAUUUCACAGGUCAGUGAGCAGAGAUAUACUCCAUGCACUCACACACUAUCUGAAAUUCAUUUUUUAACAAAAAAAAAAAUUAGUAAUGUUAUUCAGCAACAAUGCUUUAAAUUGAUCAAAAGUGGCAGUAUGGACUUUUCAUCACCUCGUCUCAAUUUGUAACUAUUUUAUGUUUUGGUAAAUUGGUGGGUAAUUCGUAUGAGUUCAUUAAAUCUCUUUCAUAUGUUUCUAUACGAUCUGCUUACGCCCCACUGAUGGUCAUGUUUUUAGGGUUGGGGUUAGGGGUCAACCUUCAUUACAAAAAGUACAUUUACACAGCAAAGAUGUACUAAAGACUAAAGACUUUUCCUUCACACUUUUUAAAAUGUUCUGCAUACAGACAACAAUGUUGUCAAAGUGAUUGUAAUUUUCAACAAUCCGUGAAAUUGACUAAAAUUGCUGUAUUAUGCAUGCCAGGCCAGUAGUUGGCGAUGUCACACUACGAAUCUGGGCACACUUAACAUGCAUGUGCAUGACAUUACCGUUUUCACAAAUUUGCAUUUUUGUAGCAUGCAGUUGAUGAUGGUAUAAUUUUCAAAAACUUCCACUUUGAAACCCAUUUUCGAAAGCUUGAAACACCCCUUUAUAAAUUAUGUUUUUCAUGUGUUUUCGUGUGAUUACAAAUUCAUACAAGAUUGACUUUGUAAAAUAGUUACAUUUCCCAUGAAACUGGGUUGGACACCUACAUUCUUACAGAAAUUUCUGUUUGAAAUAUACUAGAUGAAAUAUUCUGUUUCUAUUAAUCAAAUAAUCCUGAAAUUCAGUGUAUCAUUGUUUUCAACAGAAAAUGUUAUAGUAGAAUGAUUUCUGAAGGAUCAUGUGACACUGAAGACUGGAGUAAUGACGCUGAAAAUUCAGCUUUGAUCACAGAAAUAAAUUACAUUAAAAUAUAUUCA